RNAcentral lists this ribosomal RNA (810 nucleotides) under Fissurina illiterata. Its description in RNAcentral is "SSU rRNA". It matches the Rfam family "Bacterial small subunit ribosomal RNA", at positions 345 to 1199 of the family's 1533-position model. Lineage: Eukaryota; Fungi; Ascomycota; Lecanoromycetes; Ostropales; Graphidaceae. The record is from RNAcentral.
AUGCAAGCAGUGAGGAAUAUUGGUCAAUAGCCUAACGGCUGAACCAGCAACUAGGAGGAAUGAAGAAUUACUGUAAAAGGUAAUUUUCUAUAUAAGAAAUUAAAUAUAGAGUUAACGUAGUUAAGUAAAAUUCCGAGUAUAAAUUGAUUAUGACAGUUUAUAUGAGUAUGUCUUGACCAAUUCAUGUGCCAGCAGUCGCGGUAACACAUGUAAGACUGGUGUUAUUCAUCUUUAAUCGGUUUAAAGGGUACCUAGACAGUUAAUUAAGCCUUAAAAGGUACUAAUAAACUAGAGUUUAAUGUAAGAAGAAGAGUACGGUGAGUGUAGAGAUAAAAUUCAGUGAUACCACUUAGAAACUGGCAAAAGCGAAGGCAAUCUUCUAUGUAAAAACUGACGUUGAGGGACGAAGGCUUGUUAAAAAUAAUAGGAUUAGAUACCCUAGUAUUGUGAGCAGACAAUGAUGAGUGUCAUAUGCAAGAAUUCAUUUUUUGUGUAUAAAUGAAAGUGUAAGCACUCCACCUCAAGAGUAAUAUGGCAACAUAUAAACUGAAAUCAUUAGACCGUUUCUGAAACUCGUAGUGAAGUAUGUUGUUUAAUUUGAUGAUCCACAAAGAACCUUACCACAAUUUGAAUAGCUAUAUCUUGUAUUUAUACAAUAUAGUUACAAGCGUUGCACGGCUGUCUUCAGUUAAUGUCGUGAGACUUUGGUUAGAUCCAUUAAAUUAACGUAUAACCCUUACUUUAUUUAGUAUAAAAUAGUUCGCCGCUAUAUUGGUAGUGAUAUAAGGGACCAAGACAAGUCAUCAUGGC